Molecule: ribosomal RNA, 255 nt
Filed under: uncultured bacterium
Lineage: Bacteria
Description: partial 16S ribosomal RNA
Rfam family: Bacterial small subunit ribosomal RNA
Source: RNAcentral
CGGAGGGUGCAAGCGUUAAUCGGAAUUACUGGGCGUAAAGCGCACGCAGGCGGUCUGUCAAGUCGGAUGUGAAAUCCCCGGGCUCAACCUGGGAACUGCAUUCGAAAACUGGCAGGCUAGAGUCUUGUAGAGGGGGGUAGAAUUCCAGGUGUAGCGGUGAAAUGCGUAGAGAUCUGGAGGAAUACCGGUGGCGAAGGCGGCCCCCUGGACAAAGACUGACGCUCAGGUGCGAAAGCGUGGGGAGCAAACAGGAUU